Molecule: unclassified non-coding RNA, 310 nt
Filed under: plant metagenome
Description: partial contains 5.8S ribosomal RNA, internal transcribed spacer 2, and large subunit ribosomal RNA
Rfam family: 5.8S ribosomal RNA (bases 1-105)
Source: RNAcentral
GAAAUGCGAUAAGUAGUGUGAAUUGCAGAAAUCAGUGAAUCAUCGAAUCUUUGAACGCACAUUGCGCCCCUUGGUAUUCCAUGGGGCAUGCCUGUUCGAGCGUCAUUUGUACCCUCAAGCUCUGCUUGGUGUUGGGUGUUUGUCCCCGUCUCCGCGCGUGGACUCGCCCCAAAGUGAUUGGCAGCCGGCGUACUGGUCCCGGAGCGCAGCACAUGUUGCGCAAACGAGUGCCUUGGUACGGCGGCGUCCAUAAGCCCCUCUCUCACGCUCUUGACCUCGGAUCAGGUAGGGAUACCCGCUGAACUUAAGC